AUACGGAGGAUCCGAGCGUUAUCCAGAUUUAUUGGGUUUAAAGGGAGCGUAGGCGGGAGAUCAAGUCAGCUGUGAAAUGUAGAUGCUCAACAUCUGCACUGCAGUUGAAACUGGUUUUCUUGAGUGCGUAAGGGGCAGGCGGAAUUCGUCGUGUAGCGGUGAAAUGCUUAGAUAUGACGAAGAACUCCGAUCGCGAAGGCAGCCGGCCGGGCCGCGACUGACGCUGAAGCUCGAAGGUGCGGGUAUCGAACAGGAUUAGAUACCCUGGUAGUCCGCACAGUAAACGAUGGAUACUCGCUGUCGGCGAUAUACGGUCGGUGGCCAAGCGAAAGCGUUAAGUAUCCCACCUGGGGAGUACGCCGGCAACGGUGAAACUCAAAUGAAUUGGCGGGG
Molecule: ribosomal RNA, 393 nt
Filed under: uncultured bacterium
Lineage: Bacteria
Description: partial 16S ribosomal RNA
Rfam family: Bacterial small subunit ribosomal RNA
Source: RNAcentral